RNAcentral lists this ribosomal RNA (253 nucleotides) under uncultured bacterium. RNAcentral's name for it is "partial 16S ribosomal RNA". It matches the Rfam family "Bacterial small subunit ribosomal RNA", at positions 524 to 776 of the family's 1533-position model. The record is from RNAcentral.
UACAGAGGUCUCAAGCGUUGUUCGGAUUCAUUGGGCGUAAAGAGCUCGUAGGCGGCCUGUCGCGUCGGAUGUGAAAGCCCGGGGCUUAACCCCGGGUCUGCAUUCGAUACGGGCAGGCUAGAGUGUGGUAGGGGAGAUCGGAAUUCCUGGUGUAGCGGUGAAAUGCGCAGAUAUCAGGAGGAACACCGGUGGCGAAGGCGGAUCUCUGGGCCAUUACUGACGCUGAGGAGCGAAAGCGUGGGGAGCGAACAGG